This 299-nucleotide unclassified non-coding RNA is filed under the name plant metagenome. RNAcentral describes it as "partial contains 5.8S ribosomal RNA, internal transcribed spacer 2, and large subunit ribosomal RNA". The stretch from base 1 to 105 matches the Rfam family "5.8S ribosomal RNA", at positions 50 to 154 of the family's 154-position model. The record is from RNAcentral.
GAAAUGCGAUAAGUAAUGUGAAUUGCAGAAUUCAGUGAAUCAUCGAAUCUUUGAACGCACAUUGCGCCCCCUGGUAUUCCGGGGGGCAUGCCUGUUCGAGUGUCAUUUCACCACUCAAGCCUCGCUUGGUAUUGGGCGACGCGGUCCGCCGCGCGCCUCAAAUCGACCGGCUGGGUCUUUCGUCCCCUCAGCGUUGUGGAAACUAUUCGCUAAAGGGUGCCGCGGGAGGCCACGCCGUAAAACAACCCCAUUUCUAAGGUUGACCUCGGAUCAGGUAGGGAUACCCGCUGAACUUAAGC